UGAAGAAGUCGAUGUCAAGAACAGCUAGCUCCUCCGUCCACCAGUUAGGGGGCGAACAGCUGGGGAAAUUGGCUUCGCUGCAGGCCUUGGCGCUGACGGCCUCGACGCAGCGUUUCACGACGUUUAUGUCGUCGGCGUAGGGGAGGAGGUUGCGGCAGGACUUCAGGACGGUGACGGCGCCGGUGAGUGUGAAGAAUGCUACCUGCGUGAGAAACUCCUCCGUCCGUCCGGUGAGGUUGUUUUCGCAGUACUGAUCCGUCAUCUGAAGGAACUCCGCGGCGCAUCUCAAAACGGCGACGUUGUUGACCGUUAUUUCAAAGUUGACGCCGUAACAGAAUUUGGCGGUUUUCUCGAAGAUUGCAGGACCUCCUGGUAUAUCAGAG
This 383-nucleotide long non-coding RNA is filed under the name Phaseolus vulgaris (common bean). RNAcentral's name for it is "long non-coding RNA (PVUL_LNC002656)". Lineage: Eukaryota; Viridiplantae; Streptophyta; Magnoliopsida; Fabales; Fabaceae. The record is from RNAcentral.